This 650-nucleotide ribosomal RNA is filed under the name uncultured bacterium. Its description in RNAcentral is "bacterial SSU rRNA". It matches the Rfam family "Bacterial small subunit ribosomal RNA", at positions 232 to 885 of the family's 1533-position model. The record is from RNAcentral.
CGCGGCCUAUCAGCUUGUUGGUGAGGUAAUGGCUCACCAAGGCGACGACGGGUAGCCGGCCUGAGAGGGUGACCGGCCACACUGGGACUGAGACACGGCCCAGACUCCUACGGGAGGCAGCAGUGGGGAAUAUUGCACAAUGGGCGAAAGCCUGAUGCAGCGACGCCGCGUGAGGGAUGACGGCCUUCGGGUUGUAAACCUCUUUCAGUAGGGAAGAAGCCCCUUUUGGGGGUGACGGUACUUGCAGAAGAAGCGCCGGCUAACUACGUGCCAGCAGCCGCGGUAAUACGUAGGGCGCAAGCGUUAUCCGGAAUUAUUGGGCGUAAGGAGCUCGUAGGCGGUUUGUCGCGUCUGCCGUGAAAGUCCGAGGCUCAACCUCGGAUCUGCGGUGGGUACGGGCAGACUAGAGUGAUGUAGGGGAGACUGGAAUUCCUGGUGUAGCGGUGAAAUGCGCAGAUAUCAGGAGGAACACCGAUGGCGAAGGCAGGUCUCUGGGCAUUUACUGACGCUGAGGAGCGAAAGCAUGGGGAGCGAACAGGAUUAGAUACCCUGGUAGUCCAUGCCGUAAACGUUGGGCACUAGGUGUGGGGGACAUUCCACGUUUUCCGCGCCGUAGCUAACGCAUUAAGUGCCCCGCCUGGGGAGUACGG